UAGCUCUGAAGGUAAGAGUUGUAGGAAACUGAACUCUUUCUUGUCAGUGACAGUUUCAGGAGCUCAGUUUUCUCCAACAUCUUAUCUUCGGCGCCUUAAUCUUUGUAGUGACUAUAAAUAUGUGGAGUGGUAGCUUGGUUAGGUAUCACAACCAUAAUCUUUGGCAGCUGAAUUUGAGGUUUGGAUGGGACCAAAUCUUACUGCAGACUUGCAGAGCAAGACAAGAUUUGGUUUCCUCCAAUAUCUCAUGUUCAGUUGUCAGACAGUGAAUAGUGGUGCAAUUAGUGAGCUUUAACUUAUGGGUGGAACAACCUUGGAAGCUGAAUGUGAGAGUUGGAUGGGGCCAAAUCCUGAGCUUCAGAUCUUGCCAUGGCACAAGAUUUGGUUUCCUCCAGUAUCUCACCUUCAAUUGUCCAAGAUGGCCAGAUGCAAC
Molecule: small RNA, 433 nt
Filed under: Oryza sativa Japonica Group (Japanese rice)
Lineage: Eukaryota; Viridiplantae; Streptophyta; Magnoliopsida; Poales; Poaceae
Description: sRNA Os08g0121950
Rfam family: MIR2275 microRNA precursor family (bases 165-258)
Source: RNAcentral